UACAGAGGUCUCAAGCGUUGUUCGGAUUCAUUGGGCGUAAAGGGUGCGUAGGUGGCGGGGCAAGUCAGGUGUGAAAUCUCGGGGCUCAACCCCGAAACUGCACUUGAUACUGCCUUGCUCGAGUACUGGAGAGGAGACUGGAAUUUACGGUGUAGCAGUGAAAUGCGUAGAUAUCGUAAGGAAGACCAGUGGCGAAGGCGAGUCUCUGGACAGUUACUGACACUGAGGCACGAAGGCCAGGGGAGCAAACGGG
RNAcentral lists this ribosomal RNA (253 nucleotides) under uncultured bacterium. RNAcentral's name for it is "partial 16S ribosomal RNA". It matches the Rfam family "Bacterial small subunit ribosomal RNA", at positions 524 to 776 of the family's 1533-position model. The record is from RNAcentral.